AUGGGUGAUUAAUAAGAACAUUGAUGAAAUUAAUGCAGAUCUGGACUCCAUUGACAAGCCCAUUGAAGGUGACAAAUGGGUACAGCUCGAUACAUAUGCAAACCGAGUAGUGGAAUCCACUGUUGCACACAUUGGAAAGUUCGAUACAGAAAGUUCAAUCAACUUUAAUGUCAAUGAGUUUUCUUUGCAUUAAUAAAAGAAAUGAAAAAGUCCAUCUCACAACUUGGAAACUUAGUUAACUUGCUUGCUGGGACAAACCAGACUGGACAAGCUAAGAACAUCCACUAGGGGGAAACUCAAAGGUUGAAACGUGAUAAAGAAUGAGAAACUUGUGUACAAGUUGAAGAGUGUGGAUGGAAGCAGACCGGUUCUAAGUCUUUACACCGAGAUGAUUGAUGGGUCAACAAUUGAAGAUAAAGAAACGGCCCUGGUGUGGUUUUAUGAAGAUGCAGACCCUGAAGUUGGAUCCUUUCAAGCUAAAGAACUUAUCUAUCAUCUUGAGAGUGUGCUCGCCAAUUAUAGAACGGCAAGAUGGAGGGCUUUAUCAUCAACAAGGUUAAUUGUUGGACCUUCAAUGCUUCUCUUAUUUAGUAGUUAUUAAGAUAUAAGUUUCCAUCUUUUAUUUUAUUUCGCAUAUUGGAGUUGUUCCUGAUGAAGAGUUGUUUGAGAUACUGGCUUUGACUUUGUUGUCCGACACUUCAAAUAGAGUUAAAUGUACUAGGAGCUUAUGAUAUCAAGGAUUGAUCAUGUGCUACUAAUAUCAUGUUGCAAUUUGUAUCCAUAGAGACAUGGGUUGCUAGAGUAAUUUUUUGUUUUCAAUUUGUAUCUUUAAAAUCAUAACUAAUUGUAUAAGAAAGAAAGUUCUUGCAAAUUUAUUUUCUCAAAUAUAAUAUUGUAUCAAUUUACUAAA
Molecule: long non-coding RNA, 910 nt
Organism: Erigeron canadensis
Lineage: Eukaryota; Viridiplantae; Streptophyta; Magnoliopsida; Asterales; Asteraceae
Exons: 4
Source: RefSeq, a predicted model, not a curated record